This 429-nucleotide ribosomal RNA is filed under the name Acidobacteriota bacterium. RNAcentral describes it as "Acidobacteria bacterium partial 16S ribosomal RNA". It matches the Rfam family "Bacterial small subunit ribosomal RNA", at positions 355 to 776 of the family's 1533-position model. The record is from RNAcentral. Lineage: Bacteria; Pseudomonadati; Acidobacteriota.
UGGGGAAUUUUGGACAAUGGGGGAAACCCUGAUCCAGCCAUCCCGCGUGUGCGAUGAAGGCCUUCGGGUUGUAAAGCACUUUUGGCAGGAAAGAAACGUCAUGGGUUAAUACCCCGUGAAACUGACGGUACCUGCAGAAUAAGCACCGGCUAACUACGUGCCAGCAGCCGCGGUAAUACGUAGGGUGCAAGCGUUAAUCGGAAUUACUGGGCGUAAAGCGUGCGCAGGCGGUUCGGAAAGAAAGAUGUGAAAUCCCAGAGCUCAACUUGAGAACUGCAUUUUUAACUACCGGGCUAGAGUGUGUCAGAGGGAGGUGGAAUUCCGCGUGUAGCAGUGAAAUGCGUAGAUACGCGGAGGUACACCGAUGGCGAAGGCAGCCUCCUGGGAUAACACUGACGCUCAUGCACGAAAGCGUGGGGAGCAAACAGG